GUUGGCGAUGGCGCAGCGCCUGGCCGGCUGGGAACCGGCCGCGAUGGGGCUGACCAAGCGCGCCUUCCACCGCGCGGCCGACC
This 83-nucleotide transfer RNA is filed under the name Achromobacter dolens. RNAcentral describes it as "tRNA-Pro". The record is from RNAcentral. Lineage: Bacteria; Pseudomonadati; Pseudomonadota; Betaproteobacteria; Burkholderiales; Alcaligenaceae.